UUGUGUUGAAAGGUAGCAAAUGUUCACAACUUUUUGGAACGAUAAACAAAUUUGGGUUUCUAAAGAUAGUACAUAAAGCCUCAAAAUAUGUAAUCCCAACCAAUUUUGUGUCUCAUUGUCCUCUAAAAUAGCAACUUCUUUUUUUCUUAGAAAUUCCUAUAAGGUUAUAAAUUACGCUAUCCGUAAUAAGUGUAUGAUGCCCUAAGAGAUAAGUGGA
This 217-nucleotide long non-coding RNA is filed under the name Musa acuminata (dwarf banana). RNAcentral's name for it is "long non-coding RNA (MACU_LNC002721)". Lineage: Eukaryota; Viridiplantae; Streptophyta; Magnoliopsida; Zingiberales; Musaceae. The record is from RNAcentral.